UCCAGGGUAGCCUAGUGGAAAUGGCAUCUGCCCGGUAAGCGGAGCAUUGUGGGUUCGCUUCCCAUCCCCCUGGAC
RNAcentral lists this transfer RNA (75 nucleotides) under Cordylochernes scorpioides. RNAcentral describes it as "tRNA-Thr". It matches the Rfam family "tRNA". From Rfam's summary of the family: Transfer RNA (tRNA) molecules are approximately 80 nucleotides in length. Their secondary structure includes four short double-helical elements and three loops (D, anti-codon, and T loops). Further hydrogen bonds mediate the characteristic L-shaped molecular structure. tRNAs have two regions of fundamental functional importance: the anti-codon, which is responsible for specific mRNA codon recognition, and the 3' end, to which the tRNAs corresponding amino acid is attached (by aminoacyl-tRNA synthetases). tRNAs cope with the degeneracy of the genetic code in two manners: having more than one tRNA (with a specific anti-codon) for a particular amino acid; and 'wobble' base-pairing, i.e. permitting non-standard base-pairing at the 3rd anti-codon position. Lineage: Eukaryota; Metazoa; Arthropoda; Arachnida; Pseudoscorpiones; Chernetidae. The record is from RNAcentral.